RNAcentral lists this ribosomal RNA (279 nucleotides) under uncultured bacterium. RNAcentral's name for it is "partial 16S ribosomal RNA". It matches the Rfam family "Bacterial small subunit ribosomal RNA", at positions 43 to 277 of the family's 1533-position model. The record is from RNAcentral.
UGGAUUCAGGCCUAACACAUGCAAGUCGAACGCUUUGUGGUUCAACUGAUAUGAAGAGCUUGCUCGGAUUUGAAGCUGAACAAUGCAAAGAGUGGCGAACGGGUGAGUAACACGUGGGAAACCUACCUCUUAGCGGGGGAUAACACUUGGAAACAAGUGCUAAUACCGCAUAAUACUGAUAACCGCAUGGUUAUCAGUUGAAAGAUGGUUCUGCUAUCACUAAGAGAUGGUCCCGCGGUGUAUUAGCUAGUUGGUAAGGNAACGGCUUACCAAGGCGAU